Non-coding RNA from Dermatophagoides farinae (American house dust mite), 3355 nucleotides. Lineage: Eukaryota; Metazoa; Arthropoda; Arachnida; Sarcoptiformes; Pyroglyphidae. The record is from RefSeq and is a predicted model, not a curated record.
ACUUAUCGACCAAAUUUGUUUUAUAAAAUUGAUUUUGUUUGUCGAAACGAUUUUUUAAUUUGACUUAUAAUUUCACUAGGCAAUUCACAAUCCAAAAAUGCCUCUCUUAUAUCUUCUCGGAUAAAACUUAAAAUUCGAGCACGUAACAUUUUCAAUUUUUUUUAAUGUUAGCACUUACAUUAUCUUCAGAAGUUAUUUCCAGUAAAUCAGAAAGAUUACAGCCAUCACACCAAAGCUUGACUUCAUCCAGCCAAUAUUUAAAAUUUGUUCCAUCAAACUUUUUAAUACCGGUAAUUGACAACGUAUUUAACAAUUGUAGCUGAUCCAUAUUGGAAUUCACAAAAGAAAAGAAAAAAUCAAAACCACCGCUUGCUACCAUGUAGAAAAUAAGAAUGAACUUUAUUUGAAUAUAAUAGUAUUUUUUAUAUACAGUGGCUAUGUGCCACAAAAAAAAGGACGUAUGCUUAGCCAAUAUCAUUUAACAAAUUUCGUCAUCAAUUGUACCAUUCAGGAAAGCAGUGCACACAUCAAAUUGACAAAUCUUAUAAUUCAAUCUUGCAGCGAUCGAAAGCGUCAAUCUAAUUGUUUCAAUCGACACCACCGGACUGUACGUCUCAAAAUAAUCUUCAUUCUUACGUUGACUGAAGCCACGAGCUACCAAUCGUGCUUUAUAUCGACCAUCGUUUUUGAUUCGAAAAAUCCAUUUGACAGUAACAAUAUUCUUAUCAACUUGUCGUGGAACAAACUUCCACGUUUACAAAACAUUUGGUAAAAAGGAUGAAUUUUUAAUAGUUUAUUAUUUUAGUGAGAUACAUCGACAAAUUAAUCAAAAAGCCAAUUGAAUUUUUAGAAUUUCUAAUUUUUGUUCGAUUUCGUAGCGCUGACGUGCAUGACCUCUGGUUUCAACACUUGCGCAGUAGUUUCUAAACAAACCCUAGAAAAACGCAAGCAAUGCUCAUCAUCAAGAAAAGAAAAAAAAGAAAAACAAGAGAAAUAGAUAUCCAGAUGGAAGGUACCAAAAUCAAAAUAGUGAAACACAUGAACCACCUUUCUCAAAUAACAUUCCAACUUUCGGGUCGAAUCCACCCCACUCCACCAACGGUGGGUCAAGAACUUGGUUGGAAACAAUCAUAACAAAAUUCGAAUCUAUUGAAUCCAAAUAGUGUAAAUACACCGACAAACAUCGUUGUGUGAUUGUUAUGAGCAUGCUUCGAUCGAAUUCUAAAUUCGAACAAUUGGCUGAUCCGUAUAAUGAUGAAUCAAAAUGGCACAAUGAACGACAUUAUGAAUGAGUUUAUUGAAUAUGAUGAGAAAGUUAAAUCUCAAUCAAUUUCAUCUAAUUUCGGCUCAAAUGAAAAAUCUGAAAAAGCUAAAUCAGCCAAAGAAAAGAAAAAAUUUAAAAAUGGUUUCAAAUGUUCAUUUUGUCAUAAAAUUGGACGUAAAGUUGAAGAUUGUUGGGAAAACAAAAAACAAAAAUCAACCGUGAUGCUGAAUUAGACAAAUUCGGAUAUUUUGAAAAGAUAAUCGAUCAGAUAAAAUGGAACAACACCGUUAAUCUAAAUAAAGUCCUUCGUUACGAAUUUGAUUGUGAUAAAGAUGAAUUCAUGUUAAUUGAUAAAUGUCAAUAUCUUGGAAAUAAUGAAAUAUUUUUGGAGCUUAAAAAAUCAUCAGUUUCUAAAAAUUUGGUUACAUUAAAUUUGGUCCGUUUGUUAAAAUAUUGUUAAAAAAUAACGAUAUCUAUGAAUGUAUGUUGAAAAACAGCAUGUUUCGAAUUUUUGAUGAUUUGGUGUAUAAAAAAAUGUAAUUAAUUUAUUUUUUCAUGAUUUAUAAAUAAAAAAUACAUUUUUUAACACAAACGUAAUUUCAUUAUCUCUCAUCCUCAACAUACAUUAUUUGACAAGAACCCAUCACCGGGCAAAAAGUUAGAUAAGAAAAUUUUGUUUCUAAAUAUCCGUUCAACAACUAUUUCCCCGAUCAAAUUUUCUUUGUCUUCCUCUUUCACCACCACCACGUUGUCAACUACUACCACUACCACCUCAACAACCACAACUACUCGUAAACCGAAUAUGACAACGAAAUUGUCUAAAAUAAAAAUGGAAUUUUCAAGAUGAUAAAAUUAUAGAUGAAAAAAAAUAUAAAGCCUAAAUGUGGAAAAUCCGAAAAUGUGGAUAUCCGAGGAGGAACCAUCUCAGAAUUUAAACAUUUCUGAAAUUCAAGAAAUCGAAAUCCAAGAAAAUUUAUGUUUGGAGUCAAAAGUGAGUUCCCAUUCCCUUUAUUCUUUCUUGAUUCUUUCCUUUUUUCGCCUGUUUUUCCGUCUUAAAGUGGGGGGAUGUAAUAUCCAAUGUCCUCUCAUGAUCUUUUGUCCAAAUUUUUAAUUGUAAAAUCAUUUACUUCAAUUUCAAUUGAUAAAAGUUGAUCGUUAAUACUCAAUCAGCUUAGAUAAUUUCCAAUACUAACGUCUGUCAAUUUCACUGGCCAUAAUAUCAAUCACACGAUUGAUUAAAUUUGCUGAAACUUUCGACCAUUGCAGUAGGAACAAUUAAUAGUAGAUUCAUGCUAAAAAAUUGUUCUUAUCUUACAUAUAUAUAAAAAUAUUUUUCUCUAGCCUCUAUAGAGAGGAAUUGGAAAAAUUAUCAAACAAAAAAUAUAAAAGUCCAUUGGGUAUAAAAAAAAUCAUGUUUGGAUGGGAUUGGCGUAAACAUAUUCCAAGUUUCACCACCCGAUCUUUUUCACGACAUCGUGGAAGGAUUUGGGCCAAAAAUUGCUCAAAUAAUGCUAAAAUCGGCAUCAAUGUCGAGUACUCAAAUUGAAAAAAUUAUCAAGCAAAUUAAGUGGAUAAAUGGUCCAUUAAAAAUCAAAGAUGAUUUUUCUUUAAAAGGAAAAGGAGCUCAAAAAUUUGAAUUCAUUAACCGAAUGGUGGAAAUUUUUAAGAUUAAUCACACCGGUCAUAAAUGUGUUUAAUGGUGAUAAUUUCUACCGUUCAUUCUAUUCGAUACCGCAAUUUACAGAAUGGAGAAAAAAAACAACGAAUUAUAAAACAUACGAAAUCGAAUACUUGAAAGGUUUGGGUGGCUCGUCACCGGAACAAGCAAAAGAUUAUUUUGCAAACAUGGAACACCAACGAAUCGAAUUCAAUUUCGUUCGGAUAGUAAUUCAAAUGCAACCAGUGGUACAGUUACUUUCAUUGACAAAUCACCAAUUAAUUGGUCUUCGAAAAAACAGUCAAGAUUACCACAUUCAAUUUGUGAAGCAGAAUUAACAGCUGCAUUAGAAGGAUGGAAAAAUGCUGAACCAAUCAGACAGCUUCUUCAAGAGUUCGGAAUCAAUACACCUAACAUACUACAUGUUGACAAUA